Molecule: long non-coding RNA, 350 nt
Organism: Pongo pygmaeus (Bornean orangutan)
Lineage: Eukaryota; Metazoa; Chordata; Mammalia; Primates; Hominidae
Exons: 3
Source: RefSeq, a predicted model, not a curated record
CCACCAGGCCUGGAGCAGAGGAGUGGCUGAGUGACUUCUGGCCGGGGCAGCUCUACAGAAUCCAUGCAAGAGAGGUUUACGGGCGGCAGUCUCAGGGGCAGGAAGCUUGGGGGCUUCACUCAAAGCUGGACGCGCUUCUAUGCAACUGCUAAGCACCUGCCAUAGGCUGGACAUCGAGCUAGAUGCGGAGAUCACACCACCGUCCCUCCCUGCACAUUAUUUGUCAUCCAACAAGGAAGAGGGAUGAGAAGACAACAUCAUCACAGCCAGAGAGGCAGCAUUAUUUACAAUAGCCGAAAAAUGGAAGCAACCUAAGUACCCAUCAGCGAAUGAAUGGAUAAAGAAAAUGU